Molecule: long non-coding RNA, 532 nt
Organism: Amphiprion ocellaris (clown anemonefish)
Lineage: Eukaryota; Metazoa; Chordata; Actinopteri; Pomacentridae
Exons: 4
Source: RefSeq, a predicted model, not a curated record
CCUUUGUGAAAUAACCUGCAUCUGAUUUAAAUAAAACUAAAAUGAAGUUAUUGCUUUUGCAGGACAAGCAGACCCAAAUCUAGAGACCUCAGAAGAAGCUGCCGAGUGUCUUCUAAAGACACAAGCUGGAAUCUGGUGGAGAAGCUGCAACAGGAUGGUUGUAGUAUCCACUUUGACCAGCAGGUGGCGUAGCUCCACCUCAUCAUUCAGAAUGGUAAACCUAAUCGACCUUUGCUGGUUGUUCUGAGGAUUCAAAUAAAGAUAAAUGUCCUGUCUUCACUCCAACAUCAGAUAAAAUAUGGCUUUGUGGGAAGAAGAAAGAGUUGAACUGGACGUGAAGGAUGGGCAUACCCAAACACAGCAGAUGACUUUGUAAACUGUAAAAAUUUGCAAAAAUACAUGAACUGUAUAUUUUGAAUAAUUUCUAUACCUUGACAAGCUGUUUUAAUCAUGAAUUAAAAUAUGACAUUGUUCAGUUCCAGAUAGCUGUGACUAAAUGUGUUUCAUUUUCAGAAUAUACUUUUUGCAUUAA